CGACAACUUCCUCAUUCAUAACACGACAAGGGUGGAGCUGCUUGGGAUGUGUUGUUCGGCCCUUCGAUUCCUACAGGGCUAUGGCUUCAGGUAGACAGAUGGGGCUCAUCACAACUCACGGCAGCCAUUUCUUCAAGCCAAGGAAGCAUCUAGGAUACUGGCAGACAGAAAUCAAGGAGCACACCAUUCACCAUAGUGCAACCUCCGGGCUGGGUAUAGAGGCAAGAGGAGGAGAGUGUGUCAGACUAACCCCAACAGGCAGUGGUGACCAGCUGUGGGUGAAACUGUAGAGCAACUGUAUGAAGAGGCCAGGAAACCAACAAGAUUGAGAAUGUCAGAGAUGGCCCCGUGGAAUGGUUAGUGUGUUUGCUGAGCUACACAUGCACCUGUAUACACGCGCACGUGCACACACACACACACACACACACACACACACACGCAUCUAAGUCCACACUUACACACAAGCACAUGAAGAAAGUUCAUUUGUUGAUUGGCCAUGGCAGGUACCAAGUAAAUGUUUACUACCAAGUACAUGUUUUGUUUGGCAGGUCUAAUUUUUU
Peromyscus leucopus (white-footed mouse) is the source of this 560-nucleotide long non-coding RNA. RefSeq lists it as uncharacterized. The transcript has 3 exons. The record is from RefSeq and is a predicted model, not a curated record. Lineage: Eukaryota; Metazoa; Chordata; Mammalia; Rodentia; Cricetidae.